This 449-nucleotide ribosomal RNA is filed under the name uncultured bacterium. RNAcentral's name for it is "bacterial SSU rRNA". It matches the Rfam family "Bacterial small subunit ribosomal RNA", at positions 354 to 796 of the family's 1533-position model. The record is from RNAcentral.
GUGGGGAAUCUUCCGCAAUGGGCGCAAGCCUGACGGAGCAACGCCGCGUGAGUGAAGAAGGUUUUCGGAUCGUAAAGCUCUGUUGAGAGGGACGAGAGGCAAGGCUAGGAAAUGAGCUUUGUAGGACGGUACCUUUCGAGGAAGCCACGGCUAACUACGUGCCAGCAGCCGCGGUAAUACGUAGGUGGCGAGCGUUGUCCGGAAUUAUUGGGCGUAAAGGGAGCGCAGGUGGGAAAGUAAGUCAGUCUUAAAAGUGCGGGGCUCAACCCCGUGAGGGGAUUGAAACUACUUUUCUUGAGUGCAGGAGAGGAAAGCGGAAUUCCUAGUGUAGCGGUGAAAUGCGUAGAUAUUAGGAGGAACACCAGUGGCGAAGGCGGCUUUCUGGACUGUAACUGACACUGAGGCUCGAAAGCCAGGGGAGCGAACGGGAUUAGAAACCCGAGUAGUCC